This 65-nucleotide transfer RNA is filed under the name Sinodendron rugosum. RNAcentral describes it as "tRNA-Ile". Lineage: Eukaryota; Metazoa; Arthropoda; Insecta; Coleoptera; Lucanidae. The record is from RNAcentral.
UAUGGGGUGCCUGAUAAAAGGAUUAUUUUGAUAGAAUAAAUUAUGCAUUCAACAUGCCCUCAUUA